UGGUUCACUCUCAAACUCAGAAUUAAUGCGUUCAUCUCCAGGCCAUGGUGGUGCAUCGUAGUUAGCUUCUUCGUCAGAGAAAUUAUGGCUUAGUUUGUCUUGUUUGAAUCCAUUGAGACUGGACUCAUAUUGACUUGCUUCUUCUUCUGAAUAGUCUUUCAUGUCUACAAUCCUUCAAGAUUCUCUUCCACAAAACAAAAGAAAGAAAAAAAGAUUAAGAUAGUAUCAAGCAAAGAUAAAACAAGAAAGAAAAUAACAAAUAUGUAACAACCCAUCCCGUGGGAACCCAUCGACCCUAACCUCUCUCCUGGGGGCCCAAACUGCGCAGCCCACUUGCUCGCAGCCUCCUG
RNAcentral lists this long non-coding RNA (350 nucleotides) under Capsella rubella. RNAcentral describes it as "long non-coding RNA (CRUB_LNC000879)". Lineage: Eukaryota; Viridiplantae; Streptophyta; Magnoliopsida; Brassicales; Brassicaceae. The record is from RNAcentral.